GUCAGGAUCUAACCAGCUGAGUCUCAAGUGGAAAUAGACUGGCAGGUCCCAAUAAAGAUCUACUGGAAGAAAUUUAUUUACACUCGUGUAGAAAACACUGCACUGAGUAGUGUGUUAACAGCCUCUCAAAGCAGGAGGAGAUGGAAACUGAACCUGAACUCAGAGCCAGAGGAGUACAGAGAAGGGAUGGACAAGGGCACAGAGGCUGUGAUGGGCUGGGAUAAUUUUUAGAAUUAAUACUGAGAACUGGAGAAUUUCCCAGCUCCAGAGGUUUGCUGAGAGCACUGAGCCCAGCUGACAGGGCAGGACUGCACUGCCAUGGCUUUGCCAGGCUGUUUUCCAGGCUCUUGAGCUGCACAAUUUCUUUCACGUGGCCUUUUCAGGUCAGAAUACCCCAUUACCAACUAAUUAAACAAGCCAAACUUGAA
Molecule: non-coding RNA, 428 nt
Organism: Taeniopygia guttata (zebra finch)
Lineage: Eukaryota; Metazoa; Chordata; Aves; Passeriformes; Estrildidae
Source: RefSeq, a predicted model, not a curated record